Molecule: ribosomal RNA, 775 nt
Filed under: uncultured Neocallimastigales
Lineage: Eukaryota; Fungi; Neocallimastigomycota; Neocallimastigomycetes; Neocallimastigales
Description: partial large subunit ribosomal RNA
Rfam family: Eukaryotic large subunit ribosomal RNA
Source: RNAcentral
UAUCUCUGUAGAGUCUGCAUAUCAAUAAGCGGAGGAAAAGAAACUAACUAGGAUUCCCUCAGUAACGGCGAGUGAAGCGGGAAGAGCUCAAAUUUGAAAUCUUCAAGGUUCUACCUUGACGAAUUGUAGUUUAAAGAAGUGUUUUCUGUUGGAGUUUUGGUAAAAGUUCUUUGGAAUAGGACAUCAUAGAGGGUGAGAAUCCCGUAUUUGACCAUUAUUUCCAGCUUUGUGAUACACUUUCAAAGAGUCGGAUUGUUUGGGAAUGCAGUCCAAAAUGGGUGGUAAAUUUCAUCUAAAGCUAAAUACUUGGCGAGAGACCGAUAGCGAACAAGUACCGUGAGGGAAAGAUGAAAAGAACUUUGAAAAGAGAGUUAAACAGUACGUGAAAUUGUCAAAAGGGAAGCGUUUGACACCAGUGUUGUUUUCUCGAAAAUCAAUUAAAAAAGGCAGGAUUUUGUGUUGUAUUGACUUUAUCAGCUUUCUGCACUCUUUUCUUGUCUUUUUUAAUGCACUUUUCGUUUAACAAGUCAACAUCAAUUUCUUUUGUUGUAAAAGGGUCAUUGGAAGGUGGCUUUCUUUUCGGAGAAAGUGUUUAUAGCCUUUGGCCUCUGCAAUCGGAGAGAUUGAGGUCUGCAGCGUAGAUCCUUCGGGGUUAGAUACAUUUGUGCUAAGUUAUAGCCUUUCAUAGACAACUUGUUGACUAUGAUCAGUCAUGUAGCUUACUCGCUUAUGCUAUUUUACCUACGCUUAGGAUGUUGAUAGUCACAGCGUGUAC